This is a long non-coding RNA of Triticum aestivum (bread wheat), 1011 nucleotides long. RefSeq lists it as uncharacterized. The record is from RefSeq and is a predicted model, not a curated record. NCBI's taxonomy places the organism in Eukaryota, Viridiplantae, Streptophyta, Magnoliopsida, Poales, Poaceae. The transcript has 5 exons.
AAUAGCCCAUGUAUCCUCCGCACAUCACUAUUGUCGCCCAUUGCGUCUGCAUCCAUCUUCCCCGUGCACGCCCUAUUUUCCCCAUCCAGCCGCCGCUCCUCCCCCAGUACCACGGCCAGCCGCCGGCGCCGGUACUGCUUGCUCUCUCCGGCCUGUCCCUCGGCCAGACACCGUCAUGCUGGAUGCUCGCUGUCCAUUCUUCUGGUCAAUCGUCACCAUGCCCGACGCUCUCUCGGCGAGCCGCCGCCACCGCGACCGACGUUCCGCCACCUACUACUGCCGCCACGACCGACGAUCUCCCCUGCAUGAAUUCUCUUGCCGCUACCGCUCUAUGGCCGCCACUACCCUUCCAGCUCCACGACGUAUGCUAUUCCGGCCACAAAUGCACAUGAAACAGCCUCACGCACCACCUAAUUCACCUAACCUCAUUACAUCACCCUUCAUUAACCUGCAAAUGCGGAAGAAAGUGGAUUUAAAUACCCCUGCUAUGUAGUGUCAUUGUCCUCCAUCACACACGACUUCUUGCGUCCCAUCGCAAGAGGCCUCCGGCCCGGUGGCGCUUCAGAUCAAAGCAAAUUCUCCUCGAGACGCACUCUGAUUUCUCUCCCUUGCACUACAGCUUAGCUUAUCUUUUCAAUCACGGGUCAACAACAGGUACAAAUGGACAACCAAAGUAGCAGGAUGUCACCUAAUUCCGCAAACAAUAAUUUUCCAUGUUCUACCAUCAUUUCAAUAAGAGAAGCUCAAAAGAAAUACAGGUGCAAUUGCAAAGAGGAAGAGCACAAAAGACCUGGAGUUUAUAACUGUCUGGUGAUGGCCGGACAUGAAUUUUUAGGACAUGAUGGCACGCGAUGCCGUAAUCCUGGGCGUCCGCAUGCGCAUCAGGAUUACUAAUUAAUAUAGGGCCUUUUGCAAUACGAUGGUAGUAACUCAAUGAUACAUAGAAAUAUACAGCCAUUGGUGGGCAAUGACGCUUUAAAUUCGUAUGGUACAACAUUGCCUGGUAGUUGA